GACUGCUUGGCGCAAUGGUAGCGCGUUCGACUCCAGAUCGAAAGGUUGUGUGUUCGAUCCGCUCAGUGUUCA
This 72-nucleotide transfer RNA is filed under the name Caenorhabditis brenneri. Its description in RNAcentral is "tRNA-Trp (CCA) (tRNA-Trp-CCA-3-1)". It matches the Rfam family "tRNA". From Rfam's summary of the family: Transfer RNA (tRNA) molecules are approximately 80 nucleotides in length. The record is from Rfam by way of RNAcentral. Lineage: Eukaryota; Metazoa; Nematoda; Chromadorea; Rhabditida; Rhabditidae.